Molecule: ribosomal RNA, 399 nt
Filed under: uncultured bacterium
Lineage: Bacteria
Description: bacterial SSU rRNA
Rfam family: Bacterial small subunit ribosomal RNA
Source: RNAcentral
UGGGGAAUAUUGGACAAUGGGCGCAAGCCUGAUCCAGCCAUGCCGCGUGAGUGAUGAAGGCCUUAGGGUUGUAAAGCUCUUUCAGUAGGGAAGAUAAUGACGGUACCUACAGAAGAAGUCCCGGCUAACUUCGUGCCAGCAGCCGCGGUAAUACGAAGGGGGCUAGCGUUGUUCGGAUUUACUGGGCGUAAAGCGCACGUAGGCGGAUUGGUCAGUUAGGGGUGAAAUCCCGGAGCUCAACUCCGGAACUGCCUUUAAUACUGCCAGUCUAGAGUCCGGAAGAGGUGAGUGGAACUCCUAGUGUAGAGGUGGAAUUCGUAGAUAUUAGGAAGAACACCAGUGGCGAAGGCGGCUCACUGGUCCGGUACUGACGCUGAGGUGCGAAAGCGUGGGGAGCAA